RNAcentral lists this ribosomal RNA (297 nucleotides) under Clostridioides difficile. RNAcentral describes it as "partial 16S ribosomal RNA". It matches the Rfam family "Bacterial small subunit ribosomal RNA", at positions 399 to 714 of the family's 1533-position model. Lineage: Bacteria; Bacillati; Bacillota; Clostridia; Peptostreptococcales; Peptostreptococcaceae. The record is from RNAcentral.
GCGUGAGUGAUGAAGGCCUUCGGGUCGUAAAACUCUGUCCUCAAGGAAGAUAAUGACGGUACUUGAGGAGGAAGCCCCGGCUAACUACGUGCCAGCAGCCGCGGUAAUACGUAGGGGGCUAGCGUUAUCCGGAUUUACUGGGCGGAAAGGGUGCGUAGGCGGUCUUUCAAGUCAGGAGUGAAAGGCUACGGCUCAACCGUAGUAAGCUCUUGAAACUGGGAGACUUGAGUGCAGGAGAGGAGAGUGGAAUUCCUAGUGUAGCGGUGAAAUGCGUAGAUAUUAGGAGGAACACCAGUU